GUGCUUUGGUUCCCAACAGAUCAACCCAGUCCUUCAUCCUUUUCUCUUUCUCUUCUGUCUUGUUCCAUAAACGACUUUCAUAAUUUCGUUCACCUUCAGAGGCUGCUUAGCUUUCAAGGGAUGAUUACAUAUGAAUCUCAUAUUUCUUCAUCUAGUCAAAGCUUGAUUUCUAUUGCUAUCGUAUGAUUUGAGUGCUUGCGUGAUUGGAGUUUACUUGUGGAGAUGUUGGUUGCUGCUUGCUAUGAUUUGAGGAAAGAAUUCCUUGAGUGGACAAGUUAUUGAUAUUAUGGAGCUUUUGAGUUGAAGUGUACUUGGUUGAAUAUAUGUGAUGGUGUCCUACUAUGCUGGGCUCCUUGUUCAAGUGCUUUUGUUCAUUAUGCUCAAAUACAUUGCUGUGUUGUGAAAUGUGAAAGCAAAAGUUUAGUUUGCUAUUUACAAAAGUUGUGGAACCACCAAGUAUUAUGAAGGAUAACCUGGUAGAGAUUUUGAUACCAUAUGUGAUGGAUGGUUUUGAAAUUCAACUAUAUAUUGUAUUGAGCAAAAUGUAAAGUUUUAUCUAACCUUUCUCUUAGCUGAUUUUUACUAUUCAUUUUGUAUAUUUGAAGGCAACAGACAAAGCAUUAAAGUUGUUUGGGAGGUUUCUACGUACAUGUAUGCAUUAGUACUGUACAGUUUUACAAAUUUUGGAAAAGAAAGUGUAGUUGUAUUU
RNA transcript from Fragaria vesca subsp. vesca, 709 nucleotides. RefSeq lists it as uncharacterized. The transcript is spliced from 3 exons. The record is from RefSeq and is a predicted model, not a curated record. Lineage: Eukaryota; Viridiplantae; Streptophyta; Magnoliopsida; Rosales; Rosaceae.